This 837-nucleotide unclassified non-coding RNA is filed under the name Skoua fertilis. RNAcentral describes it as "sequence contains 28S rRNA gene". It matches the Rfam family "Eukaryotic large subunit ribosomal RNA", at positions 50 to 907 of the family's 3401-position model. Lineage: Eukaryota; Fungi; Ascomycota; Leotiomycetes; Myxotrichaceae. The record is from RNAcentral.
GCGGAGGAAAAGAAACCAACAGGGAUUGCCUCAGUAACGGCGAGUGAAGCGGCAACAGCUCAAAUUUGAAAUCUGGCCCCCUCGGGGUCCGAGUUGUAAUUUGUAGAAGAUGCUUCGGGUGUGGCCCCGGUCUAAGUUCCUUGGAACAGGACGUCACAGAGGGUGAGAAUCCCGUAUGUGACCGGUGGCCUCCCCCGUGUGAAGCUCUUUCGACGAGUCGAGUUGUUUGGGAAUGCAGCUCAAAAUGGGUGGUAAAUUUCAUCUAAAGCUAAAUAUUGGCCAGAGACCGAUAGCGCACAAGUAGAGUGAUCGAAAGAUGAAAAGCACUUUGGAAAGAGGGUUAAACAGUACGUGAAAUUGUUGAAAGGGAAGCGCUUGCAACCAGACUUGCGCGCGGUCGAUCAUCCGGGGUUCUCCCCGGUGCACUCGGCCGUGCGCAGGCCAGCAUCGGUUUGGGCGGCCGGACAAAGGCCUCGGGAAUGUGGCUCCUUCGGGAGUGUUAUAGCCCGAGGUGCAAUGCGGCCAGCCCGGACCGAGGACCGCGCUUCGGCUAGGAUGCUGGCGUAAUGGUUGUAAGCGGCCCGUCUUGAAACACGGACCAAGGAGUCUAACAUCUAUGCGAGUGUUUGGGUGGCAAACCCAUCCGCGUAAUGAAAGUGAACGGAGGUGAGAACCCUUAAGGGCGCAUCAUCGACCGAUCCUGAUGUCUUCGGAUGGAUUUGAGUAAGAGCAUAGCUGUUGGGACCCGAAAGAUGGUGAACUAUGCCUGAAUAGGGUGAAGCCAGAGGAAACUCUGGUGGAGGCUCGCAGCGGUUCUGACGUGCAAAUCGAUCGUCA